GGGGGUUUAGCUCAGUGGUAGAGCACUUGUCUAGCAAGCACAAGGCCCUGGGUUCGGUCCCCAGCUCUG
This 69-nucleotide transfer RNA is filed under the name Rattus norvegicus (Norway rat). It matches the Rfam family "tRNA". Rfam says of the family: Transfer RNA (tRNA) molecules are approximately 80 nucleotides in length. Their secondary structure includes four short double-helical elements and three loops (D, anti-codon, and T loops). The record is from Rfam by way of RNAcentral. Lineage: Eukaryota; Metazoa; Chordata; Mammalia; Rodentia; Muridae.